UACGUAGGGACCAAGCGUUGUUCGGAUUUACUGGGCGUAAAGGGCGCGUAGGCGGCAAUUCAAGUCAUCUGUGAAAUCUCCGGGCUUAACCCGGAACGGUCAGGUGAUACUGUUUUGCUAGAGUGCGGAAGGGGCAAUCGGAAUUCUCGGUGUAGCGGUGAAAUGCGUAGAUAUCGAGAGGAACACCAGAGGUGAAGACGGGUUGCUGGGCCGACACUGACGCUGACAGCGCGAAAGCCAGGGGGGCAAACAGG
RNAcentral lists this ribosomal RNA (254 nucleotides) under uncultured bacterium. RNAcentral's name for it is "partial 16S ribosomal RNA". It matches the Rfam family "Bacterial small subunit ribosomal RNA", at positions 524 to 776 of the family's 1533-position model. The record is from RNAcentral.